AUAUAUCAUAAUAAAAAAUAAAUAUUAAAUAGAAGAAAACCUUCUUCAUCAUAUUGUUUGUCUAAUUAUUGCACGAACUUCACGACAGAAAGAAUAUCUAUCUGCUACUGUUUCAGUAGAUGUUUGUUCUCCAUUAAUCCAACUGCUUUCACGAACAGCAUGCUCGAAAGACAUUCCAACAACGAAACAAUAUAUUAAUGUCAAACAUUUUUCCGGUGAUAUAUGGCACCUUUCAAAAUAUGUGUUUCUACUGAAAGUUACAUUAUGAUCAUAUUUUCGGCGUUUUCGACAUCAAAAUUCUCCACAUACACCUCGAGAGUCAUCUAAAACCAUUUGCUGCUUAUGAGUAUUACAAUACCGCGAACUAGGUAUCAGUCCCAAUUCUCUCGCCCAUUGUAAUGUUGUUGCUCUAUCUUUUAAUUCUGAGCCCAGUAAAAACAAAUUCAUAUUUUCUCACAUUUUCACUGUCGCUCUUUUCAGAAAGAAAUAAUGCUUCCGUGUGAACGUUACAUAGCACACUACAUGUAAGGAAACAAACUUGUUUAUUUCAUUCAUCUAAUAAUAUGUCUUUAUUUUCCGUACCGUACAAAAAACAUCCGAGAUAAACAAUAAACACAUUAGUCAUCAUAUGUAUAUAUAUAUAUUUUAUUAUAUAUAUACCGGCAAUACAUACGAGGUGAUAUAUAUAUACAUAUAUAUUUCAUGAUCUUAGGAAUCUUCUGGUGUACUUUGAGUGCGGUUAUUCUGUACAUAUACAGAAAUCCAGCUGAAAAUAUUCAAUCACUACAUAUUACUUUAUUUGAACUUUUUAUGCCUUUAUCCUUCUUGUCGGUAAAAAUCCAUUUCAGGGUAUUCAUUUUGAGUCAUUUCAAACAUUUUCACUAAAGAAUAUGUAAAUCGAAUGUGGGAGCUUUUCGGAAGUUCAGCCAAAAAA
Molecule: long non-coding RNA, 934 nt
Organism: Ooceraea biroi (clonal raider ant)
Lineage: Eukaryota; Metazoa; Arthropoda; Insecta; Hymenoptera; Formicidae
Source: RefSeq, a predicted model, not a curated record